GCGACCCUCCCCCUCCCUCCCCUCCCCCAUCCAGGGUCCUUCCCUCGGCAAGGCGGGGGGGGGCUUGGGGGACGCAGGCAGGCGGGGCUGAAGGGGCUCCGCUUCCUCCUGGGGGGCUCCGGCCAGGCUCCUCCCUGCAGCUCCUGACCCCCCCAAAGCCCCCUUUGCCCAUCUGCAGGGGGGGAAUCCCCUCCAGGACCCCCCCGAAUAUGUGGCCCCCUGAGGCCUCUGCUGACCCCCUGAGGCCGAAGCCUCCCGGAAGGAGAAGCUUUCCCUACGUCGCCCCUCGGGAGGUUGGGGCCCUGGCAGCCCCCCCAGCUCUGCCCCCCUCCCCUGAAGAGCUGGAGGACCCCCACCGCCUUGGGUUGGGGGGCUUUUCCUCCUGAAAUCCUGGGCCCCAAAGGCUGGAGGGGUUCCUGGUCCUGCGGCUCUCUUGCAUUGCAGCUUCUCCUCGGCUGGGAGGGGAUCCUGAGCCAGCAACUCCAUAAGUUUUUCAACUUUUAUGUCCACCCCCCCAUCUCACCAAAAGAGCAACUUUUAAGAUUUGACAUCAUUUGCCUGUUUUUGUUUUUGCAGUAAAUACCUGAGGUGAUCUGAUGCUGGAACCCAGUGAGGUCCUCAAGGUGUUUUCAGACCCACUCAGAGUCUCUGGGAGUUGGGCUUUUCUCCAAAUGUAAUAAAAUAAAUGGGCAGAUAUCCCAGAGAACCUCUUUGAAACUUCCCUGAGAGGAUCCUGGUUUCUAUUUCACGUAUGCAAGACACGGUCUGCGAAAACUAUUUCCAAGGUGGCUUAUCAUCAUGGAGUGGUGAUAGUGAAAUGCUUAGGGUGCAAGAACCAUCAUGUGAUUGCCGAUAACUUGGGCUGGUUCUCUGAUUUAGAUGGAAAGAGGUAAGCAUUUGGUUCUUGAGGAUUUGUUGCUUCAGCUGCCGAAGUGGAAUUAGUUCCUGGGAACAAUUCAGAACUAACACAAUGGACGCACCAGAAUUCGUAAUCCACAAAUCUUCAUUUAUUGUUUUGGCUUGCAGAAUGAACACCAAGGAAAAUUCCUUCUGUGACCAAAAUCCCACAGAAACUAGGAGGCGGAACAUUGAGGAAAUCCUUGCAGCCAAAGGAGAGAAAGUGAGGCGAGUGGCAGGCGAAGACGCUCUCGAGCUCUUAGUUGAAGACCCCCAAUUGCUGGAACGGCUGAGCAAAGGAGGAGGAGAAGAAGAUCCAGAGUGAU
This is a long non-coding RNA of Ahaetulla prasina, 1223 nucleotides long. RefSeq lists it as uncharacterized. The transcript is spliced from 3 exons. The record is from RefSeq and is a predicted model, not a curated record. NCBI's taxonomy places the organism in Eukaryota, Metazoa, Chordata, Lepidosauria, Squamata, Colubridae.